AAUUCUCAACCUCACCAGUUUUGCUGUGUGAUGGCUUGGAUGUGGGGGUUGCAGGUCCACUCUGUGGUCUGCUCCUCUAAAAUGUAUUAGUGGGUUGAGCCCCUAAUCUAUUGGUGUGAUAAUUAUCUACGCCGUGGAUUGGAAGGCUAUCAUAGACCUGCUUCUAACCGUCCCUCACAGGACAACUUUGACAU
RNAcentral lists this unclassified non-coding RNA (194 nucleotides) under Coprinopsis foetidella. RNAcentral's name for it is "Coprinus foetidellus partial internal transcribed spacer 2". The record is from RNAcentral. Lineage: Eukaryota; Fungi; Basidiomycota; Agaricomycetes; Agaricales; Psathyrellaceae.